Molecule: long non-coding RNA, 868 nt
Organism: Daucus carota subsp. sativus
Lineage: Eukaryota; Viridiplantae; Streptophyta; Magnoliopsida; Apiales; Apiaceae
Exons: 5
Source: RefSeq, a predicted model, not a curated record
CUCUACUUUAUAAAUCCUACUGCCUUUUUCCCUGCGAAAAGUCUUCUUUGUCCCUCUACAAAUUCUGUUUUUACGUUUAUACGGCCAUUGGCCACGUGGACUCCUCUCUGCCACUUAUUUCAUACAUAAACCCACGCUUUCUUAUUCUCCAGCAUCUCCUAGAGUUUGAAUUUCAAAAUUUUGAAUCGACGGCCUUGAAAAUACUGCCGGUUUGAAGAUUUUCAAUCAUGAAACUUCCGAAAGAAGCUGCAUUUCAAAUUCAAACCGUCCGAUGUCUACGCUCUCUUCGAUUUCGAAUUUAUGCUUUGGAGGCGAUUACUGCCACUGUUCGGAUCAAAGCGGUUACUGCGGCUGCUGCUCGGAUCCACUGAUGGCGAAGAGCAAGUGAUAGAUUAAUUCAUCCAUUCUCCCCUCUUUCCCCUUUUCUGAAUUGAUGGAGAACACACUUUGAUAACGAAAACAAAGAUGCAGAUUAAUGAUCCUAGACAAGUGUAUGGCCCUGUUGCCACUGUCUGGACUUUGCCUGAGAAGUAUUUGGCAAAAUGUCCAGGAGAAGAAGCUGAUAGAGCAAAUUUGCAUUUCUUUGUUUGGAUGGGACGCUUAACCAGCAGCAGCGAGAGAAAAUCUUUAUAAAACAGUUUUCAGAAGAUAGCAAUAUUCUGGUGCUUCUUAUGUCAUUGAAGGCUGACAGAGUUGGAAUAAACCUGACAGCAGCAUCUCAUGCAUUUGUCAUGGUAUGUUCAAUGUGUUGGUCUAGGUUCCAGAUAUUUUCUGCUAUAGCCAUACUCAUUUUGUACUUUGUUCAACCUAGAACUUAAAGAUGCAUAGUUUCAAAUUGUUGAUCUUCUGUAACGCUGAUUAAUAUAUG